CAGCAGCCGCGGGAAUACGUAGGGUGCGAGCGUUAAUCGGAAUUACUGGGCGUAAAGCGUGCGCAGGCGGUUAUAUAAGACAGAUGUGAGAUCCCCGGGCUCAACCUGGGACCUGCAUUUGUGACUGUAUAGCUAGAGUACGGUAGAGGGGGAUGGAAUUCCGCGUGUAGCAGUGAAAUGCGUAGAUAUGCGGAGGAACACCGAUGGCGAAGGCAAUCCCCUGGACCUGUACUGACGCUCAUGCACGAAAGCGUGGGGAGCAAACAGGAUUAGAGACCCCUGUAGUCCCUGUCUCUUAUAC
This 301-nucleotide ribosomal RNA is filed under the name uncultured bacterium. RNAcentral's name for it is "partial 16S ribosomal RNA". It matches the Rfam family "Bacterial small subunit ribosomal RNA", at positions 509 to 807 of the family's 1533-position model. The record is from RNAcentral.